This is a small nuclear RNA of Heterocephalus glaber (naked mole-rat), 130 nucleotides long. Its record names the gene U2. It matches the Rfam family "U2 spliceosomal RNA". From Rfam's summary of the family: U2 is a small nuclear RNA (snRNA) component of the spliceosome (involved in pre-mRNA splicing). NCBI's taxonomy places the organism in Eukaryota, Metazoa, Chordata, Mammalia, Rodentia, Bathyergidae. The record is from Ensembl.
AUCGCUUCUCGGCCUUUUGGCUAAGAUCAAGUGAAGAAAUAGAUAUAUAAUAAAAUUUGCCAUUUUAAUUAUACAAUUCAGUGGCAUUAAUUACAUGCACAGCCCUAUGCAAAUAUUAUUAAUAUCCAUU